RNAcentral lists this ribosomal RNA (300 nucleotides) under uncultured Propionibacterium sp. RNAcentral's name for it is "bacterial SSU rRNA". It matches the Rfam family "Bacterial small subunit ribosomal RNA", at positions 496 to 795 of the family's 1533-position model. The record is from RNAcentral. Lineage: Bacteria; Bacillati; Actinomycetota; Actinomycetes; Propionibacteriales; Propionibacteriaceae.
GCUAACUACGUGCCAGCAGCCGCGGUGAUACGUAGGGUGCGAGCGUUGUCCGGAUUUAUUGGGCGUAAAGGGCUCGUAGGUGGUUGAUCGCGUCGGAAGUGUAAUCUUGGGGCUUAACCCUGAGCGUGCUUUCGAUACGGGUUGACUUGAGGAAGGUAGGGGAGAAUGGAAUUCCUGGUGGAGCGGUGGAAUGCGCAGAUAUCAGGAGGAACACCAGUGGCGAAGGCGGUUCUCUGGGCCUUUCCUGACGCUGAGGAGCGAAAGCGUGGGGAGCGAACAGGAUUAGAUACCCUGGUAGUC